Molecule: ribosomal RNA, 444 nt
Filed under: Fragilariopsis kerguelensis
Lineage: Eukaryota; Bacillariophyta; Bacillariophyceae; Bacillariales; Bacillariaceae
Description: partial Eukaryotic large subunit ribosomal RNA
Rfam family: Eukaryotic large subunit ribosomal RNA
Source: RNAcentral
GACUGAAGUGGAGAAAGGUUCCAUGUGAACAGCACUUGGACAUGGGUUAGCCGAACCUGAUGGAGCCAGAUUCUGCCAAUGAGGCCUUGCCUGCUCCUUGACAGAGAAUGGGGUUAACAUUCCUCAGCCAGGACGUGGAUAAUGCAUGGUGACAUAAGCCAACUUGGCAAUACAGGGGGAAGCCUUUGGAAGCGUUAUCUCUUCUUUUUGAUGGUGUAGUGCCCUGGAAUCAGAUUGUUUGGUGGUAGGGAUUGUUGAUGAGCAGAGCACCUUGUUUGCUGAGGUAUCUCAGUGUGCUUCCAGUGGUCCAUGAAAAGCCUGAGGAAGGACUUAUUCACCCCCCUGGUCGUGCCCACAACCGCAUCAGGUCUCCCAGGUUAGCUGCCUCUGGUCUGUGGAAUGAACUGGGUGAGGGAAGUCGGCAAAUUGGAUCUGGAACUUUGG